GCAGUCGGAAGAGUUGGGAGCAGGCCUCGGGCGGUAGCUCCUCAAACUCGGACCGCAUCCCACCUCCACCCCGGCCUCAGUCCCGGCGCUGAGCACCACUCGCCAGACGCAAAACUGCAACUGCCAGGCAUCGCGCAUCUCUCAAAGGCUCCCCGCCAGCCCACCUCUUCCUCCAGGGCCACCCCAAGUUUCACCCGACGCUCCAGGUCAGGGGUCCCCGACCUCCCGCCAUUUCUCCACGUAGCCGCAGCUCAGGACAGGAGGAGAGAGCCUCAAGGUGACACCUCAUUUUGGCCAGUGGAUCCGGGUUCUGGGUCCGAGUUCCCGGGCACCAGGAGCCAGGCAGCCCGAGCUCCCGGGCCCGGCUUCCCAUGAGAGGCCCCGUCGCCUCACCUGGCAGCGGCACACGAUGUCGGCGUCCUGCGCCAGCAGGUCCACCACCUUCCCUUUGCCUUCGUCGCCCCACUGCGCACCGAGCACCACCGUCACCCGGUUUCCUCCGGGCCGCGCCCUGGGGCGGCCGCAAUCGCCGUUGGGCAGGGAGGAUGCCGCCGGGUAGGUCUCGGCGAACGCCAUGGCUCCAGUGACGCGAGGAGAGCCCGAAGGAGAGGCGGCCGGCGAGGAGUGAGCGAACUGAACUGCUCUGCGGCCGCCAGCCACAUGCAGAGGAAGAAGGAGCCAGAGGCCGGCCCCGCCCCCGCCCCGCCGGGCCGCCACCCUCCAGCCAGUCCCCGCCCCGCUCUCCGCCACAGCCCGCUCAAGGGGGUACCAUGACUGCCCCGCGCAGGCCGGCCUCGGCAGCACCGCCCGCAGGAAGAGGCCCUGGUGGCGGCAACGGCCGCCACCCCGGACCGAGGCCACGCCCCUUCCGCGGCCUGGCGCGCCACUCCCGUGCAAACCUCGCGAGCGGAAAAGGUCAGGGGCGGGGCUUCGAGAGCGCUUCUCCUUCAGCACCCCGCCUACCCGCUCUACCUCUCGCUUUCAAACUGGAGAGGCGCGGAAGCGCGUGUGGAGCGUCGGACUACAAAUCCCAGCAUGCAACGCUCUGGGCUGCGGCGGUGUAUUCUGGGGCCACUGUGUCUGCCAUCUGCAGGGGAAAAAAAGGAGGAGAGAGAGAAGAGACAGAUUCAGUUGGCCUCAUGCUAUCUUCAUUGGAUCUUCUUUGGAAAGAUUAAGUUAGAGUAUGAAGGAACAUUAUUUACUGAGUGGAGUGUGCCAGAAACUUGUUUUGUGCUAAAUAAAAGCUCACCCACGACAGAAUUGCGUUGUUCCUCACCUGGUGUUCACGCUAUAAAACCAAUUGUUACUGGCCCAGAUGAAGAAGAACGCUAUUUAUUUGUGGAAAGUUCUCAUACUUGCUUUCUGUGGUACUAUAGAGUUAGACAUUUCUUUAACAACUUUACCCAGCUUAUCACUGUGUGGGCAUAUGAUCCAGAAAGUGCAGAUCCUGAUGAGUUGCUGGGGAAUGCAGAAGAACCUUCAAUAAAUUCCAUAGUACUCAGCACACAGAUGGCCACAUUGGGACAGAAGCCUGUCAUACAUACAGUUCUGAAGAGAAAAGUUUAUUCUUCAAAUGAGAAAAUGAGAAGGGGGACCUGGCGUAUUGUAGUACCAAUGACAAAAGAUGAUGCACUAAAGGAGAUUAGAGGAAACCAAGUUACUUUUCAGGAUUGCUUUAUUGCAGAUUUUCUUAUUCUGUUGACUUUUCCUUUGUUGACCAUACCUGAAAUUCCUGGUUAUUUACCAAUCUCCUCACCACGUGGUAGUCAAUUAAUGGCUUCCUGGGAUGCUUGUGUAGUUGCAUCUGCUGUUUUGGUGACAGAUAUGGAGACCUUUCACACAACUGAUUCAUUCAAAUCUUGGACCAGAAUCAGAGUGCCUCCAGACAUUCUGAGUGAUGAUGAAAGACGGAGUGUGGCUCAUGUGAUCUUAUCGCGGGAUGGAAUCGUUUUUCUUAUAAAUGGUGUUCUUUACAUAAAGAGUUUUCGUGGAUUUAUAAGACUGGGAGGAAUUGUAAAUCUUCCUGAUGGUGGAAUUACUGGCAUUUCAUCAAGAAAAUGGUGUUGGGUCAAUUAUUUAUUAAAGGCUAAAGGAAGAAGAAGCACCUUUGCAGUCUGGACAGAAAAUGAAAUUUACCUCGGAUCCAUUCUUCUUAAGUUUGCCAGAUUAGUAACUACCACAGAACUGAAAAACAUCCUAAGUCUAUCGGUGACUGCUACUCUGACCAUAGACAGGGUUGAGUAUACAGGACACCCUCUGGAGAUUGCUGUGUUUUUAAAUUAUUGCACUGUAUGUAACGUCACCAAAAAGAUUUUCUUAGUGAUAUAUAAUGAAGAUACAAAACAGUGGGUUUCCCAAGACUUUACAUUAGAUGCCCCUAUUGACAGUGUUACCAUGCCACAUUUUACAUUUUCAGCACUGCCAGGAUUACUGCUAUGGAACAAGCAUAGUAUCUACUAUUGUUACCAUAAUUUCACCUUUACUGGGAUUUUACAGACACCUGCAGGACAUGGAAAUCUAUCAAUGCUAUCAAAUGACAGCAUUAUUCAUGAAGUUUUCAUAGAUUAUUAUGGAGAUAUUUUGGUAAAAAUGGAAAAUAAUGUAAUAUUUUAUUCCAAGAUUAAUACUAGAGAUGCAGUAAAGCUGCAUUUAUGGACAAAUUACACAACAAGAGCAUUCAUUUUCUUAAGUACAUCUGGUCAAACAUAUUUCCUGUAUGCUUUGGAUGAUGGCACAAUACAAAUACAGGACUAUCCCUUACAUCUGGAAGCACAAAGUAUAGCUUUCACAACAAAAGACAAAUGCCCAUACAUGGCAUUUCAUAACAAUGUUGCUCAUGUUUUUUACUUUUUGGACAAGGGAGAGGCUCUGACAGUUUGGACUCAGAUCGUCUAUCCAGAAAACACUGGUCUGUAUGUUAUUGUGGAAUCUUAUGGCCCAAAAAUAUUACAAGAGAGUCAUGAGAUUUCCUUUGAAGCUGCCUUUGGAUACUGCACCAAAACUCUGACACUAACAUUUUAUCAGAAUGUAGAUUAUGAGAGAAUAUCUGAUUACUUUGAGACACAAGACAAGCACACGGGUCUUGUGCUGGUUCAGUUUCGACCUAGUGAAUAUUCAAAAGCAUGUCCAAUAGCCCAAAAGGUGUUCCAAAUAGCUGUUGGCUGUGAUGAUAAAAAAUUCAUUGCAAUUAAAGGAUUUAGUAAAAAAGGAUGUCAUCACCAUGAUUUUUCAUACGUGAUUGAAAAGUCAUAUCUGAGGCAUCAGCCAUCGAAAAACUUGAGAGUAAGGUAUAUUUGGGGAGAAUAUGGCUGCCCUCUGAGGCUUGACUUCACAGAAAAGUUUCAACCUGUGGUUCAACUAUUUGAUGAUAAUGGCUAUGUUAAAGACGUUGAAGCAAAUUUCAUAGUGUGGGAAAUACACGGCAGGGAUGACUAUAGCUUUAAUAAUACUAUGGCACAGAGUGGUUGUUUACAUGAAGCACAGACAUGGAAGUCAAUGAUUGAACUUAACAAGCACCUCCCACUAGAAGAAGUCUGGGGACCUGAGAACUAUAAACACUGUUUUUCUUAUGCUAUUGGAAAACCAGGAGACUUAAAUCAACCAUACGAGAUUAUCAACAGUUCUAAUGGUAACCAUAUAUUUUGGCCCAUGGGCCAUUCUGGAAUGUAUGUAUUUCGUGUGAAGAUCCUGGAUCCAAACUAUAGGCACAAUAGUAAUUCAGAGAUGGGAAAGAUUAAUGCUAUUUUGAGCAGUAAAAGAAAACUUUCUGGAGAACACAGAACAUCAGUAGAAUUUACAUUGCCAGAAGACAGAGACAGACGCUUCCAGUGAAAGAAAUCACACUAAUAACGGAAUGGAGCUAAACGUUAGCAAAAGUUUCUGUAACCUAACAGCUAUGUUUGCAAUAGAGACAUUUGGACUGAUUCCCAGUCCAAGUGUCUACCUGGUAGCUUCUUUCCUCUUCGUCCUGAUGCUGCUCUUCUUCACUAUUCUUGUUUUGAGCUACUUUCGGUACAUGAGGAUUUAUAGACGAUAUAUUUAUGAACCACUUCACAAACCUCAAAGAAAACGUAAGAAGAAUUAGGAAAACUGAAAGUUUGUUUAUUACAGAUAUAUGCAUAUAGAGAAACAGUGUAUUACAUAGUGAUAUUGAGAGUGUGUGUUUGACCAAGAAAUACUAAAUAUAAGCUCGUAGUAGGCAUCACCAAAUUCAAGAUCUGAAAAAUAUUCUUGAACUAUCUCCAAAAUAGAAAUGUUUUCAUAUAUAUUGUUAUUAAAUUAAUCCUUUGUUUGCCUUCAUUUUAAAGAUACUCUAUGUACUCUCACAUGGCAUGAAAAAAUAAACUAAAUUUGACUAUUACAAUCCUUUGUAAGAAUGAAAGUGAAUUUUUGAAAAUAUAUCUAUGUGUCAAGUAUCAUUUUGCAUGAAACUUUUCACAUGAAACCUUAUAUGACUGUAGUUAAUUUAUAUAUAAAGGAUUUAAUAAAGGUGUGUGGAUUUAAAUAA
Molecule: RNA transcript, 4507 nt
Organism: Homo sapiens (human)
Lineage: Eukaryota; Metazoa; Chordata; Mammalia; Primates; Hominidae
Gene: CATSPERE
Gene name: catsper channel auxiliary subunit epsilon
Exons: 23
Source: RefSeq, marked validated